RNAcentral lists this ribosomal RNA (406 nucleotides) under uncultured bacterium. RNAcentral's name for it is "partial 16S ribosomal RNA". It matches the Rfam family "Bacterial small subunit ribosomal RNA", at positions 29 to 526 of the family's 1533-position model. The record is from RNAcentral.
AUUGAACGCUGGCGGCAGGCCUAACACAUGCAAGUCGAGCGAGCGGCGGACGGGUGAGUAAGGUAUGGGGACCUGCCCGAUAGAGGGGGAUAACUAGUGGAAACGGUGGCUAAUACCGCAUACUAUCGGAUGAACCCAUAUGGGAUUAGCUAGUAGGUGGGGUAAAGGCUCACAAAGGCGACGAUCUCUAGCUGGCCUGAGAGGAUGAUCAGCCACACUGGGACUGAGACACGGCCCAGACUCCUACGGGAGGCAGCAGUGGGGAAUAUUGGACAAUGGGCGCAAGCCUGAUGCAGCCAUGCCGCGUGUAUGAAGAAGGCCUUCGGGUUGUAAAGUACUUUCAGCGGAGAGGCGUUACCCGAAGAAGAAGCACCGGCUAACUCCGUGCCAGCAGCCGCGGUAAUAC